This 402-nucleotide ribosomal RNA is filed under the name uncultured Ochrobactrum sp. RNAcentral's name for it is "bacterial SSU rRNA". It matches the Rfam family "Bacterial small subunit ribosomal RNA", at positions 986 to 1382 of the family's 1533-position model. Lineage: Bacteria; Pseudomonadati; Pseudomonadota; Alphaproteobacteria; Hyphomicrobiales; Brucellaceae. The record is from RNAcentral.
AUACCGGUCGCGGACACAGAGAUGUGUCUUUCAGUUCGGCUGGACCGGACACAGGUGCUGCAUGGCUGUCGUCAGCUCGUGUCGUGAGAUGUUGGGUUAAGUCCCGCAACGAGCGCAACCCUCGCCCUUAGUUGCCAGCAUUUAGUUGGGCACGUCUAAGGGGACGUGCCGGUGAUAAGCCGAGAGGAAGGUGGGGAUGACGUCAAGUCCUCAUGGCCCUUACGGGCUGGGCUACACACGUGCUACAAUGGUGGUGACAGUGGGCAGCGAGCACGCGAGUGUGAGCUAAUCUCCAAAAGCCAAUCUCAGUUCGGAUUGCACUCUGCAACUCGAGUGCAUGAAGUUGGAAUCGCUAGUAAUCGCGGAUCAGCAUGCCGCGGUGAAUCGUUCCCCGGGGCCUUU